RNAcentral lists this ribosomal RNA (273 nucleotides) under uncultured bacterium. Its description in RNAcentral is "partial 16S ribosomal RNA". It matches the Rfam family "Bacterial small subunit ribosomal RNA", at positions 524 to 796 of the family's 1533-position model. The record is from RNAcentral.
GACGAGGGGUCCUAGCGUUGUUCGGAAUCACUGGGCGUAAAGCGUAUGUAGGCGGGCUUCUAAGUCAGGUGUGAAAUCCCAUGGCUCAACCAUGGAAUUGCAUUUGAAACUGGAAGUCUUGAGUGUGGGAGAGAUUGGUAGAAUACCUGGUGUAGUGGUGAAAUACGUAGAUAUCAGGUGGAAUACCGGUGGCGAAGGCGGCCAAUUGGCCCAACACUGACGCUGAGAUACGAAAGCGUGGGGAUCAAACAGGAUUAGAAACCCCAGUAGUCC